ACCUGCCCAUUGGAAUCUAAAAGGCCGCGGUAUUAUGACCGUGCUAAGGUAGCAUAAUCAUUAGUCUUUUAAUUGGAGGCUGGUAUGAAUGGUUGGACAAGAAAUAAGCUGUCUUAAAUAAAAAUAUUGAAUUUAACUUUUAAGUGAAAAGGCUUAAAUUUUCUAAGGGGACGAUAAGACCCUAUAAAACUUUAUAUUUUAAAAUAAUAAUUAAUUUUUAUUUAGAAGAUUUAUUUUUAAAUAUUUUAUUGGGGUGAUAAAGAUAAAAUGUGAGAUAACUGUCUUUUUUUUUUUACAAUUAAUAUUUGAGUAAAAGAUCUUAACAAAGGAAAUAAGAGAUUAAGUUACUUUAGGGAUAACAGCGUAAUUUUCUUUAAGAGUUCUUAUCGACAAGAAAGUUUGCGACCUCGAUGUUGAAUUAAAAGUUCUUUAUAGAGUAGAUAUUAUAAUAGAGGGUCUGUUCGACCCUUAAAAUUUUACGUG
RNAcentral lists this ribosomal RNA (483 nucleotides) under Pontastacus leptodactylus (narrow-clawed crayfish). Its description in RNAcentral is "Astacus leptodactylus (narrow-clawed crayfish) partial large subunit ribosomal RNA". It matches the Rfam family "Bacterial large subunit ribosomal RNA", at positions 1857 to 2602 of the family's 2925-position model. Lineage: Eukaryota; Metazoa; Arthropoda; Malacostraca; Decapoda; Astacidae. The record is from RNAcentral.